RNAcentral lists this ribosomal RNA (879 nucleotides) under Rhytidhysteron bannaense. RNAcentral describes it as "SSU rRNA". It matches the Rfam family "Eukaryotic small subunit ribosomal RNA", at positions 112 to 999 of the family's 1831-position model. The record is from RNAcentral. Lineage: Eukaryota; Fungi; Ascomycota; Dothideomycetes; Hysteriales; Hysteriaceae.
AUCGUUUAUUUGAUAGUACCUUACUACUUGGAUAACCGUGGUAAUUCUAGAGCUAAUACAUGCUAAAAACCCCAACUUCGGGAGGGGUGUAUUUAUUAGAUAAAAAACCAACGCCCUUCGGGGCUCCUUGGUGAAUCAUAAUAACUUAACGGAUCGCAUGGCCUUGCGCCGGCGACGGUUCAUUCAAAUUUCUGCCCUAUCAACUUUCGAUUGUAGGGUAUUGGCCUACAAUGGUAUCAACGGGUAACGGGGAAUUAGGGUUCGAUUCCGGAGAGGGAGCCUGAGAAACGGCUACCACAUCCAAGGAAGGCAGCAGGCGCGCAAAUUACCCAAUCCCGACACGGGGAGGUAGUGACAAUAAAUACUGAUACAGGGCUCUUUUGGGUCUUGUAAUUGGAAUGAGUACAAUUUAAAUCCCUUAACGAGGAACAAUUGGAGGGCAAGUCUGGUGCCAGCAGCCGCGGUAAUUCCAGCUCCAAUAGCGUAUAUUAAAGUUGUUGCAGUUAAAAAGCUCGUAGUUGAACCUUGGGCCUGGCUGGCCGGUCCGCCUCACCGCGUGCACUGGUCCGGCCGGGCCUUUCCUUCUGGAGAGCCGCAUGCCCUUCACUGGGUGUGUCGGGGAACCAGGACUUUUACUUUGAAAAAAUUAGAGUGUUCAAAGCAGGCCUUUGCUCGAAUACAUUAGCAUGGAAUAAUAGAAUAGGACGUGCGGUUCUAUUUUGUUGGUUUCUAGGACCGCCGUAAUGAUUAAUAGGGAUAGUCGGGGGCAUCAGUAUUCAAUUGUCAGAGGUGAAAUUCUUGGAUUUAUUGAAGACUAACUACUGCGAAAGCAUUUGCCAAGGAUGUUUUCAUUAAUCAGUGAACGAAAGUUAGGGGAUC